RNAcentral lists this transfer RNA (71 nucleotides) under Bacteroidota bacterium. RNAcentral describes it as "Bacteroidetes bacterium (wastewater metagenome) tRNA-Cys". It matches the Rfam family "tRNA". Rfam says of the family: Transfer RNA (tRNA) molecules are approximately 80 nucleotides in length. Their secondary structure includes four short double-helical elements and three loops (D, anti-codon, and T loops). Lineage: Bacteria; Pseudomonadati; Bacteroidota. RNAcentral also lists the same sequence under 1 other name. The record is from RNAcentral.
GGUCCCGUAGCAAAGUGGCUAUGCAGAGCUCUGCAAAAGCUUUUACGGCGGUUCGAGUCCGUCCGGGACCU